Molecule: ribosomal RNA, 253 nt
Filed under: uncultured bacterium
Lineage: Bacteria
Description: partial 16S ribosomal RNA
Rfam family: Bacterial small subunit ribosomal RNA
Source: RNAcentral
UACGAAGGGGGCUAGCGUUGUUCGGAAUUACUGGGCGUAAAGCGCACGUAGGCGGACUACUAAGUCAGGGGUGAAAUCCCGGGGCUCAACCCCGGAACUGCCUUUGAUACUGAGAGUCUCGAGUCCGGAAGAGGUGAGUGGAAUUCCGAGUGUAGAGGUGAAAUUCGUAGAUAUCAAGCAGAACACCUGCGGCGAAGGCGGCCUUCUGGACGAUGACUGACGCUGAGACACGAAAGCGUGGGGAGCAAACAGG